RNAcentral lists this long non-coding RNA (377 nucleotides) under Fukomys damarensis (Damara mole-rat). RNAcentral describes it as "lncRNA (ENSFDAG00000024920.1)". The record is from RNAcentral. Lineage: Eukaryota; Metazoa; Chordata; Mammalia; Rodentia; Bathyergidae.
AAAACAUUGAGUAGGUGACUGAGUAAAAUGAUGACUGUGUAUUAUGUUUUUGCCAUGCAGCUGGAUAAACAUAUUCAGUGACAGACCUUGGUGAGAACUGCGGAGAUGCUCUUAACAAUGGCAUGAAUAUUAGAUGCUGUCCACGAUUCACUGCCGUUGGGAUUUUGAGCAAAGCCAGGUUUUAAAUUUGCGGGAAGGAGGAAAUUCUAGUCUGCUGGGAGAAAGUAUCUUCUUCUUUGCUGCUCACAUGAGUGUGGAGCUGUCUCCUACCCCUACGGAAUGAAGCACCCGCUUGUCCACAGACCCUGAGGAGGGGCAAAGACUAUGGAAAGAUGAGGUAGGUGCUAGUUUCCCACCACCACCCUUUAUGUUAAAAG